Molecule: transfer RNA, 58 nt
Filed under: Hemidactylus tenkatei
Lineage: Eukaryota; Metazoa; Chordata; Lepidosauria; Squamata; Gekkonidae
Description: tRNA-Cys
Source: RNAcentral
AGUCCCGUAGAGAGGCGGAGUGCAAAUCCGGCGAAGCACCCAAAAGGUGCCGGGGCUU